AAUGAGCAUUCGCCAUGUGCCAGGCACUACUGCCUAGGUCAUCCCAUUUUCUCAUGGUCUAUGUAGUGGGUGCUCUUAGGAUGCCUGUUUUACAGAAGAGACAAUUGGUUCAAUGAGGUUCACAGGAUUAGAAGGUGGUGCAGCAAGUUCUGGAGCCCAGGCCGUCUGAUAGGAAAUCCUGAUGCCUUAUUAUCACGAUACCCAGCCUCCCAGGAGUAUGGUGCUAACGGGCUGUGGAAUCUCUGAUAAGGUCAGAUCUUCCAGAAUUGAGGAGAAGACUCUACACAGGUCUGAAGUGAACCCUGAUCCAGAGAAGCGUAUAUAGAAAAUGAGAUCCUGCUGCAUCCCUCCCUGAACUGCUUUUUUUCUAUUCCACCUGCCACUGUUUCUUUCCAGAGACUAGAAAAAUGAGCAGCCUUCUGGACCUGCAGAAUGAACAAGUGAUUGUCUCAUCGGCCAUGAAAAUGAAAUUGUUUACACAUCCUUUCUGUGGCGUUGCGUUCAAAUCUGUUGAUUAGAAAAGAAGAAAAAAAAAAUCAUGACCUAAAUGAACACCAGAGGAGGACAAGGGGGACAGAACAGAUGAUAUUUAUGACUGGUUGAGAAUUUCCAUCUCAGCAGCUAAAAUGAUGAACUUGGGAUCACUGGAAAUGGAAAUAGUUGACUUCACAGAUGGUAGGCGGCUCUUGUCGGAGAAGACUGCUCUGAGUGUGAGCCUAAUUGAGUACUUCAUAUCUGUAUAAAUUAACAUCUUUUAAAACUA
Non-coding RNA from Microcebus murinus (gray mouse lemur), 763 nucleotides. The record is from RefSeq and is a predicted model, not a curated record. NCBI's taxonomy places the organism in Eukaryota, Metazoa, Chordata, Mammalia, Primates, Cheirogaleidae.